CUUGGCCACUGGGUUGCUGGUGAUUUUCUUCAUGGAGACAGAAAACAGAAGGAGGGACCAAAGUACAUUAGACCUGGGGACAGAAUUGAGUUCAGUCCUGGGCAUGUUGAAUCAUCUGGCGAUGGGGCUUUGGAGCUGAGGGGGUGCCAGGCCCUAAGGUGGAGAUUGGGAGAUCAUCAGGAUAUAUGUCCCAGGUAAAGAGUUAAGAGUGUUGGGUUUGAGGGAAGUGCAUGAAAUGGACCAAGAAGAUCAUUUUAAAGAGGGAUGGAGAAGAACAGAAAGUUGGACCAAGGAGAGGAUGCCAGUGUGGCCUGUGUCAAAGAGAUGCCAUGAGAGGAAGGCAGAAAGGAAAUAGCAAUAAAUUGAAUGCAACCAAUACUUCUGAUACUUGCUACUUCUCAAGACUCUCAAGCAUGAAAAUAUCUUAGUCUUCCCCUCUCAAAAUGGACAUAACCUGCAAAUAGAGCACCUCGAGAAAAGGACGCCCAUAAAAACAAUAAAACAAUACCACGUGCAACGGUUACUAAUGCGGAUUUUAUAAUCAAAGAAAACACGAUCAU
Molecule: long non-coding RNA, 560 nt
Organism: Pipistrellus kuhlii (Kuhl's pipistrelle)
Lineage: Eukaryota; Metazoa; Chordata; Mammalia; Chiroptera; Vespertilionidae
Exons: 3
Source: RefSeq, a predicted model, not a curated record